CCCUUAGACGUUCUGGGCCGCACGCGCGCUACACUGACCAGUGCAACAAGCAUCCGUCCUUGGCCGACAGGCCCGGGCAAUCUUUGAACGCUGGUCGUGAUGGGGAUAGACUUUUGCAAUUUUUGGUCUUCAACGAGGAAUUCCUAGUAAGCGCAAGUCAUCAGCUUGCGUUGAUUACGUCCCUGCCCUUUGUACACACCGCCCGUCGCUCCUACCGAUUGAAUGGUCCGGUGAAGCGUUCGGACCGUGGCCUUUGGACGGUUCGCCGUCUGUUGGCUGCGGGAAGUUCGUUAAACCUUAUCAUUUAGAGGAAGGAGAAGUCGUAACA
RNAcentral lists this ribosomal RNA (328 nucleotides) under uncultured eukaryote. RNAcentral's name for it is "partial 18S ribosomal RNA". It matches the Rfam family "Eukaryotic small subunit ribosomal RNA", at positions 1470 to 1796 of the family's 1831-position model. The record is from RNAcentral.